Molecule: ribosomal RNA, 397 nt
Filed under: uncultured bacterium
Lineage: Bacteria
Description: partial 16S ribosomal RNA
Rfam family: Bacterial small subunit ribosomal RNA
Source: RNAcentral
AUACGUAGGUGGCAAGCGUUGUCCGGAAUUAUUGGGCGUAAAGCGCGCGCAGGCGGUCCUUUAAGUCUGAUGUGAAAGCCCACGGCUCAACCGUGGAGGGUCAUUGGAAACUGGAGGACUUGAGUGCAGAAGAGGAAAGUGGAAUUCCAAGUGUAGCGGUGAAAUGCGUAGAGAUUUGGAGGAACACCAGUGGCGAAGGCGACUUUCUGGUCUGUAACUGACGCUGAGGCGCGAGAGCGUGGGGAGCAAACAGGAUUAGAUCCCCUGGUAGUCCACGCCGUAAACGAUGAGUGCUAAGUGUUAGGGGGUUUCCGCCCCUUAGUGCUGCAGCUAACGCAUUAAGCACUCCGCCUGGGGAGUACGGUCGCAAGACUGAAACUCAAAGGAAUUGACGGGG